UUAGGAAUUUUGGGCAAUGGGCGCAAGCCUGACCCAGCAACGCCGCGUGGGGGACGACGGCCUUCGGGUUGUAAACCCCUUUUCCCAGGGAAGAGCGUGACGGUACCUGGGGAAGAAGUCCCGGCUAACUACGUGCCAGCAGCCGCGGUAAUACGUAGGGGGCCAGCGUUGUCCGGAUUUAUUGGGCGUAAAGCGCGCGCAGGCGGUUCUGCAGGUGGCUCGUGAAAGCGCCCGGCUCAACUGGGAAGGGUCGGGCCAAACGGCAGAGCUGGAGGCUGGUAGGGGGAAGCGGAAUUCCCGGUGUAGUGGUGGAAUGCGUAGAGAUCGGGAGGAACACCAGUGGCGAAGGCGGCUUCCUGGACCAGACCUGACGCUGAGGCGCGAAAGCGUGGGGAGCGAUCCGGAUUAGAUACCCGUGUAGUCC
This 424-nucleotide ribosomal RNA is filed under the name uncultured bacterium. RNAcentral's name for it is "bacterial SSU rRNA". It matches the Rfam family "Bacterial small subunit ribosomal RNA", at positions 355 to 796 of the family's 1533-position model. The record is from RNAcentral.